GAUGAUCAGUGAACCAAACACGGACCCAAUUCCAGCACCUAGAAUAGAAAUGUGUUUACUGUUACUAAAUGAAAAAAAAGGAUGUGUUUCAGGGAAUGGAUUCAAAAAGCAAAUAAUAUAAGGAACGCUAUCAUCAGACAAAAGAGACCCAUUGCUUCAGAUAGCGCAAAUCCAAGGAUAGCAUAGUUGAAAACUUGCUGCUUCAAGGAGGGAUUACGUGCAUAACCAAUUAUUAAUGAUCCAAAAA
Pogonomyrmex barbatus (red harvester ant) is the source of this 247-nucleotide long non-coding RNA. The record is from RefSeq and is a predicted model, not a curated record. NCBI's taxonomy places the organism in Eukaryota, Metazoa, Arthropoda, Insecta, Hymenoptera, Formicidae.